UACGAAGGGGGCGAGCGUUGUUCGGAAUUACUGGGCGUAAAGGGCGCGUAGGCGGCGACUCAAGUUAGAUGUGAAAGUCCUGGGCUUAACCUGGGGACUGCAUUUGAUACUGGGUUGCUUGAAUUCGGGAGAGGAUAGCGGAAUUCCCAGUGUAGAGGUGAAAUUCGUAGAUAUUGGGAAGAACACCGGUGGCGAAGGCGGCAUCCUGGACCGGCAUUGACGCUGAGGCGCGAAAGCUAGGGGAGCAAACGGG
RNAcentral lists this ribosomal RNA (253 nucleotides) under uncultured bacterium. Its description in RNAcentral is "partial 16S ribosomal RNA". It matches the Rfam family "Bacterial small subunit ribosomal RNA", at positions 524 to 776 of the family's 1533-position model. The record is from RNAcentral.